GAUGAACGCUAGCUACAGGCUUAACACAUGCAAGUCGCGGGGCAGCAUGGGGGUUGCUUGCAAUCCCCGAUGGCGACCGGCGCACGGGUGAGUAACGCGUAUCCAACCUGCCCUUCACCACGGGAUAACCCGGCGAAAGUCGGACUAAUACCGUAUGUUGUCCAUUGACGGCAUCCGAUUUGGACGAAAGGUUUGGCGGCGAAGGAUGGGGAUGCGUCCGAUUAGCUGGACGGCGGGGUGACGGCCCACCGGGGCGACGAUCGGUAGGGGUUCUGAGAGGAAGGUCCCCCGCACUGGAACUGAGACACGGUCCAGACUCCUACGGGGGGCAGCGGUGAGGAAUAUUGGGCAAUGAGCGUAAGCCUGAACCAGCCAAGUAGCGUGCAGGAUGACGGCCCUAUGGGUUGUAAACUGCUUUUAUGCGGGGAUAAAGUGGCCCACGUGUGGGUUUUUGCAGGUACCGCAUGAAUAAGGACCGGCUAAUUCCGUG
RNAcentral lists this ribosomal RNA (490 nucleotides) under uncultured bacterium. Its description in RNAcentral is "partial 16S ribosomal RNA". It matches the Rfam family "Bacterial small subunit ribosomal RNA", at positions 28 to 507 of the family's 1533-position model. The record is from RNAcentral.